AUACGGAGGGUGCAAGCGUUACUCGGAAUCACUGGGCGUAAAGCGCAUGCAGGCGGUCAGAUAAGUUAGAAGUGAAAUCCUAUAGCUCAACUAUAGAACUGCUUCUAAAACUGUUUGACUAGAGUCUGCGAGGGGAAGAUGGAAUUAGUAGUGUAGGGGUAAAAUCCGUAGAGAUUACUAGGAAUACCAAAAGCGAAGGCGAUCUUCUGGAACAGUACUGACGCUGAGAUGCGAAAGCGUGGGGAGCAAACAGAAUUAGAAACCCUAGUAGUCC
This 274-nucleotide ribosomal RNA is filed under the name uncultured bacterium. RNAcentral describes it as "partial 16S ribosomal RNA". It matches the Rfam family "Bacterial small subunit ribosomal RNA", at positions 523 to 796 of the family's 1533-position model. The record is from RNAcentral.